RNAcentral lists this long non-coding RNA (1104 nucleotides) under Sinocyclocheilus anshuiensis. Its description in RNAcentral is "lncRNA (ENSSANG00000000061.1)". Lineage: Eukaryota; Metazoa; Chordata; Actinopteri; Cypriniformes; Cyprinidae. The record is from RNAcentral.
UGAUUGUGAAAAUCUCUGAUAAACAGGGCAGGUUUGUCCUCCAGAAUCUCUCUGUUGCUGCGUGUGAUUGUGCGGUUUCACCAAACUGUCUGAUGGAGCGCAACACACAGCAAAAAGUGGGAAGUGGCUUGAUAGGAAUUACCAUUCUUGCCGCGCUGAUGAUAUUUGCAUGUCUGUUGCUGUCUCUCAUUUGCUCUUGUGGGACUGUGAAGUCUCUGGUGCAGGUAGACAAUGUCUUAGAAGAUGCCCUUCUGCCUUCUAACAUCGAGAAACCUGGCACUGAUUGUGUGGUAAAACCUUAUAUUAAGAUCUCUUAUGAAAAGCUAAAUGGCCCUUUCACAGUGAGGUCUAAUACAAAGAUAACAAAUGAAUGUUCUACUCUAUUUUUUUUACAUUCAUAAAGGUCCCGACUAUUCUAUUAAAGAAGGCAUCUGUUAGUCACUCAAAGGAUGCAACUUUUGUCAGUAAUGGGGUUCAACAGACAACUGACAUUCAGGGGGUAUCUAGCAAAAUUAUAGCCACUCAUAGUCUCCCAGUUCAAAUGGAUGAGUGCUGGUCUAGAGACAGAUCACAGUGUUAUUCCAGUGAGAACCAGACAUGGAUGUGGAAACAGUAUCAGAGUGAAAACCGCUACCAGGGUUCAACAUUUAGCAGGAGGAGCUCACAAAGAAGACAGGGUACCUAUUUCAUCAGCAGCUCAACUCUACAAAGUUUGCUCUCUCAGAGAUUGCAUUCAAUACAGGGCCUAGAAAAUGAAUUGCUUGAUUACGAACCUCAGCUUUACGCAGUUGAGGACAACUCUGAUCAUUUUUUAGACCUGGACCCCAUAGACCUGCCUACGAAUGAGUUUGAUCCUGAGUUGCUCUCAGACCUCGGACCAGCAUUUAAGCAUCUGGCUUCUAUCUGUAACCCAGGGACACUGUCAAAACCAGAAGUGAUGAAGAAUGGGAUCAGAUAGUCUAGUGAUGAAGAUGAGGAUGAAGAUGUUUGUAAUGUGGGGUUUGGUGUUUGGGUUUUGUUUCAUGUUCAUGUUUUCAUGUCUUUUAUUUUGUAAUUGUUUCCUGAUGUUAGUGUCAUGCUUCCCUUGCCUCAUGUCUCUCUGCC